This 301-nucleotide ribosomal RNA is filed under the name uncultured bacterium. Its description in RNAcentral is "partial 16S ribosomal RNA". It matches the Rfam family "Bacterial small subunit ribosomal RNA", at positions 509 to 807 of the family's 1533-position model. The record is from RNAcentral.
CAGUAGCCACGGGAAUACGUAGGUGGCAAGCGUUGUCCGGAAUUAUUGGGCGUAAAGCGCGCGCAGGUGGUUUAAUAAGUCUGAUGUGAAAGCCCACGGCUCAACCGUGGAGGGUCAUUGGAAACUGUUAAACUUGAGUGCAGGAGAGAAAAGUGGAAUUCCUAGUGUAGCGGUGAAAUGCGUAGAGAUUAGGAGGAACACCAGUGGCGAAGGCGGCUUUUUGGCCUGUAACUGACACUGAGGCGCGAAAGCGUGGGGAGCGAACGGGAUUAGAUACCCCCGUAGUCCCUGUCUCUUAUAC